CAGGUGCUGGCUUGCCUUCCUUCUAAUGAGGGUGCUAUCCAGGGGUGGCUUUCAAAGAGUGAAGGGCAGGCACCUACCUCAGCUCAUGCCCCAGUCAGCUGCUCCUCAGGUGGCUGAGGAGGGCCUGUUCCCAAGAAUGAUACUGCAGACAAAUAUAAAGGCCAUUGUUCCCCUAGGUCUCUGCCUGGGGAGGUUGAAACUCCGGAAGCUGCCCAAAGUGGCUGUGCUUAUGAGCGGGGCCUUGAAGCCCAAGGAUAUGCAAUUUUCUUUUUUUUUUUUUGAGAUGGAGUCUUGCCCUGUCGCUAGGCUGGAGUGCAGUGGUGUCAUCUUGGCUCACUGCAACCUCCGACUCCCUGGUUCAAGCGAUUCUUCUGCCUCAGCGUCCCGAGUAGCUGGGAUUACAGGCAUAUGCCACCACACCCAGAUAGUUUUUGUAUUUUUAGUAGAGAUGGGGUUUCACCAUGUUGGCCAGGAUGGUCUCGAUCUCCUGACCUUGUGAUCCACCCGCCUCAGCCUCCAAAAGUGCUGGGAUUACAGUCAUGAGCCACCACGCCUGCCCGGAUAUGUGAAUAUUUUAUCUAGCAGUGAAUGAAGGUGUGGGGUGCCCAGCAAGGAGCUCUAGGGGUCUCAGUCAUGAGGACACAGCAGGAAAAGGACAGACGAGAAUGGCAGCAUGUGCAUGGUCAGUGCUGCCCAAAGGCAGGGCAGGCAGGAGGAUGGGGUGGGAUGGUGGGGGUCCCAGCAGGCUGGGGGGCAGGGCACCUGCCCGCCUAGCACAGUUGGGCGCAGCAAGCUGAGGGGCCAGAAGAAAACUAAAGGGUGUGGUGAUUCCAGCAAACCCAAGGUCAGAUUUCAGAGCAGAAAGUUGUCACUUGUAGAGCAGCAAGCAUCUGUCCUGUUGAUGUAGUCUAGGAGAUGCUGUCACAUCACCUGAUACUCUGGAGUCUUUCUGAGAUAGGUUGGCAUCCCAUUUACCCUGUAACACCCAAAACUUCUUAUGUCCUGUUCCCUACCUGGGCGUUGUGCAUGGGCUGGGAACGGGAAAACUCAGGCAGAGCAGAGACACAGAGGGGGCGUCUGGUAGAGACUGCGUGAGGAGCCCACUAGGAGAACCGUGGGAUGCCGGGCAAGUCUGCACUGCUGCGGUCUGAAGUCAGCCACAGACACAUGGGUUUCCAAGCGAAGCUCCCUCCCCAUGUGAUGGAGGUCACAGUCGCCCUCCCUGUCAUGCCUCCUUUCACCCUCCCAGCUGGGUCAGGUCCCCAGUCAGAGGCAGAGGUGAGCACAGUCUUGGGAAGCAACCUGCGGUCCACCCCCACCGCUCACCCCUGCCUUUACAGCUGCGUGCACUUCAGCCCUGGGAGGGCUGAUUCUCACAGAGCUAGAGCUCCUUAGUGGUCCUGGGACUCAGCUCUCCUGGGUCCCAGUCAGGACCCCCAUCCCAGUCCUGUGUGCAUUUGGGAACCAAGUCCUUAGGGCUUGAGUCUAAAUGGUCCUUCUGUAAGAAAGCUGAUUCUGGCACCAACAGAGAAACUGCCUCAGAUGAAGAGUGUUAGCACCCGAAGGGACCCCCAGGCCUGUCCUGACCCUCCCACCCCUGCUAUCGGCCCAACUUGUGUCCAUUUCCUGGAAGAACCGCUUCCAGCAGCCAGUGUGCUAUGCUUCCUCCUGGCUCUGCCCUGCACCCCCGGAACAGCCCCUGGGCUUACGGGAGACACUAGUCUCUGGGCUUCUGCAGCCAAUCAAGCUGCUGGCCCCUCCCUCCCAAGCACUGGAGGAGGUACUCGUUCUGUGGGCCGUGGCCCCUCCCUCCUGAGCACUGGAGGAGGCACUUGUUCUGUGGGCCGCGGCCCCUCCCUCCCCAGCACUGGAGGAGGCACUCGUUGUGUGGGCCCUGGCUCCUCCAUGUCUGAGGGAACUGCUCUGCUUCUCCUACAGUCCCUGAGAUUCUGCAGCUCAGCGAUGCCCUGCGGGACGACAUCCUGCCCGAGCUUGGGGUGCGGUUUGAAGACCACGAAGGACUGCCCACAGUGGUGAAACUGGUAGACAGAAACACCUUAUUAAAAGAGAGAGAAGAAAAGAGACGGGUUGAAGAGGAGAAGAGGAAGAAGAAAGAGGAGGCGGCCCGGAGGAAACAGGAACAAGAACACUCUGAAUCUGAGGGCUUGGAAGCAAGUUGAGGGCUGGAGGUAUGAGCAGAUGUCGUUCACAGUGUGGAGCCCCAGGUGCUGCUCGGGGGCAGUGACUGUGCCGUGUUGCGUGUUCUAGGCAGCAAAGCUGGCCAAGAUGAAGAUUCCCCCCAGUGAGAUGUUCUUGUCAGAAACCGACAAAUACUCCAAGUUUGAUGAAAAUGGUCUGCCCACACACGACAUGGAGGGCAAAGAGCUCAGCAAAGGGCAAGCCAAGAAGCUGAAGAAGCUCUUCGAGGCUCAGGAGAAGCUCUACAAGGAAUAUCUGCAGAUGGCCCAGAAUGGAAGCUUCCAGUGAGGGGGCACAGGACUGACUUUUUAAACCAUUGUGGACUAGUGGCUGCUGUCUGCCUCAGUGACAAUGUCCCAGCGCUCCUAUCAUGUUUACAGUCACCCUUGGGUCCUAAAUUAAGAGUUGUGUUCAUGUAGGUUCGUGUCGUCGUUGGCUCUGAGACAUUGAUAAUAAAUUUUUCUCAACAGUG
This 2671-nucleotide small RNA is filed under the name Pan troglodytes (chimpanzee). RNAcentral's name for it is "retained intron". Lineage: Eukaryota; Metazoa; Chordata; Mammalia; Primates; Hominidae. The record is from RNAcentral.